Molecule: ribosomal RNA, 335 nt
Filed under: Klebsiella pneumoniae
Lineage: Bacteria; Pseudomonadati; Pseudomonadota; Gammaproteobacteria; Enterobacterales; Enterobacteriaceae
Description: bacterial SSU rRNA
Rfam family: Bacterial small subunit ribosomal RNA
Source: RNAcentral
GUCGCAAGACCAAAGUGGGGGACCUUCGGGCCUCAUGCCAUCAGAUGUGCCCAGAUGGGAUUAGCUAGUAGGUGGGGUAACGGCUCACCUAGGCGACGAUCCCUAGCUGGUCUGAGAGGAUGACCAGCCACACUGGAACUGAGACACGGUCCAGACUCCUACGGGAGGCAGCAGUGGGGAAUAUUGCACAAUGGGCGCAAGCCUGAUGCAGCCAUGCCGCGUGUGUGAAGAAGGCCUCGGGUUGUAAAGCACUUUCAGCGGGGAGGAAGGCGGUGGAGGUUAAUAACCUCAUCGAUUGACGUUACCCGCAGAAGAAGCACCGGCUAACUCCGUGC